AACGUAGGAGGCAAGCGUUAUCCGGAGUAACUGGGCGUAAAGGGCGUGUAGGUGGUUGAGUAAGUUGGUUAUGAAAGCUCCUGGCUAAACUGGGAGAGGUUGACCAAGACUGCACAACUUGAGUGGAGAAGAGGUAAACGGAAUUCCGCGUGUAGUGGUGAAAUGCGUAGAGAUGCGGAAGAACACCAGUGGCGAAGGCGGUUUACUGGUCUCCAACUGACACUGAGCCGCGAAAGCAUGGGUAGCGAACGGGAUUAGAAACCCCAGUAGU
RNAcentral lists this ribosomal RNA (271 nucleotides) under uncultured bacterium. Its description in RNAcentral is "partial 16S ribosomal RNA". It matches the Rfam family "Bacterial small subunit ribosomal RNA", at positions 524 to 794 of the family's 1533-position model. The record is from RNAcentral.